This is a long non-coding RNA of Limulus polyphemus (Atlantic horseshoe crab), 3673 nucleotides long. RefSeq lists it as uncharacterized. The record is from RefSeq and is a predicted model, not a curated record. NCBI's taxonomy places the organism in Eukaryota, Metazoa, Arthropoda, Merostomata, Xiphosura, Limulidae. The transcript has 5 exons.
UGAAUAAUAAACUAAAGAGUUAUCUAUGUUUACCAGCUGAUCGUGAUCUCGUGAAAAUCAAGAUAGAAGAAGCAAGGAUGGAGCUUAAUGAUCUAGAAAAGAAGAUUUUUGAGAACGUAGAAAAAUAUUAUGUGUAGUUUAUCUGUAUUUCAGUGUCGGUCAGUUUAUUUGUCAUGUAAUGCUUACAUGUUGCUCAUAAACUUUCAAAAUAGUUUUUUAAGAGAAGUAAAUAUGUAUGAGUAAGUUUAAUGAAAUAUAUUUACUUCUGGAUUUUAUCUCCACUAUAGAUACAAUAGUAAUUAAAUUCUUCUUCAUUCUGUUUGUUCUUUUAUACAAUCCAGAGUUUGCUUGGAAUACACUAUGAUGUUCAGUAGUAGAUAAUGUAAGAUAAAGAAAUAAAUAAAUAAAGAUAUUUGUUUAGAUUUUGACAUAGCCAUCUUUUAUUUCACGAUAAAUGAAGUAUUUAUUUUGAUGAGUUUCACUAGGUUUCAUCCAGAAUCAUGAGAACAGUAUAAUGGUUAGGAUCUUGAUAACUUAAUAAAUUAAGAUACAUUUUUAUAUUUAUCAAAAAAACUGUCCGAAAUCUCUCUGAAGUAACAUUUUAGUUUACAUGUAGCGUUUGUGUUUAAGUGAAACAUCAAAUACAGGCUUUUUAAAUAUUAUAUAUAACAGUGAAAAGUAAAUACAUCACUAAAUUAUGGAGAAUUAUUAUUUUAUAUGAUCAACCUUAUAAAUGUAAGAAUCCAGUGUUUGAUAGGUCAGGGUAGUUACGUCAACCUUAAGAGUGUAAGAAUCCAGUGUUUGAUAGGUCAGGGUAGUUACAUCAACUGUAUAAAUGUAAGAAUCCACUGUUUGAUAGGUCAGGGUAGUUACAUCAACUGUAUAAAUGUAAGAAUCCACUGUUUGAUAGGUCAGGGUAGUUACAUCAACCUUAUGAAUGUAAGAAUCCAGUGUUUGAUAGGUCAGGGUAGUUACAUCAACCUUAUAAAUGUAAGAAUCCAGUGUUUGAUAGGUCAGGGUAGUUACAUCAACCUUAUAAAUGUAAGAAUCCACUGUUUGAUAGGUCAGGGUAGUUACAUCAACCUUAUAAAUGUAAGAAUCCAGUGUUUGAUAGGUCAGGGUAGUUACAUCAACCUUAUGAAUGUAAGAAUCCACUGUUUGAUAGGUCAGGGUAGUUACAUCAACCUUAUGAAUGUAAGAAUCCACUGUUUGAUAGGUCAGGGUAGUUACAUCAACCUUAUGAAUGUAAGAAUCCACUGUUUGAGAGGUCAGGGUAGUUACAUCAACCUUAUGAAUGUAAGAAUCCAGUAUUUGAUAGGUCAGGGUAGUUACACCUUAUAAAUGUAAGAAUCCAGUGUUUGAUAGGUCAGGGUAGUUACUUCAACUUCUAAAUGUAAGAAUCCACUGUUUGAUAGGUCAGGGUAGUUACAUCAACUGUAUAAAUGUAAGAAUCGACAGUUUUAUUUAUGUGAGAAUGAUCUAAUGUUACCUUAACCUAAUAAAUUGUUGUUUCUUAGAUGAAGGUUUCAUCAACCUAUUAAACUAGGCCUAGCAUGCCAAACUAUGGAUCCAAUGUUCAGUGGUUUGUGCUUCAUUACUGCCAAAAAAAAAGAAAAAUCAAGCUCCACAUUUAUAAGAAUGACAUUCAAAUCCCUCUGUUUGAUUGGAGUAGCCCAAGAGUUGUUGGUGGUUGAUUAACUGCCUUCCUUCAAGUCUAUCACAUCAAAAAUAGGAACAAGUUGCACUCAAAUAGUUUUGUAGAAAAUUAAUAAAGAACCACAAGAUUAUCGAAUUGUUGGUUUAUGCAUCAAAAUUACAUCUUAAUACACAGAAACAAACUUGAUUCUUAGAGGAUAUGUCCUUAAAAAAAUCAGAGAAGGAUCUGAGUAUCAUUUAUUAUUAUGAACUUGUAAGUCAGUAUAUAUAUAUUUUCUUACAUUUACACUUUUUCUGGUUCACUUUACGGGGUAUUAAGGUUUAUUUUUACCUAACUUGUGUCAACUUGUGAAUAACUUUUCAGAAUAAACACAGAAUUUGAAGAUUUGUAUUGUGUAAAUCAUUAUUUUUCCCUAAUGUGAACACUUGCAUGCAGCGAUUUUACAGUAAAUGUAAGUAACACUAAGCACUUUCCUGCCUUUAGAAUACUUAGUUUUUUGCAAAUAUCAAACUAAAUAAAUAACUUUACGUCACUUACUACUAUUAAAAGUGCAGGAGACCCGAAUGUGUGUAGGUGGACAGAUUGUAGCUAUGGUUGGAUUUUUCUAUCAUUAUCAGGAUUGUUAAAGUGCAGGAGACCCGAAUGUGUGUAGAUGAACAGAUUGUAGCUGUGGUUGGAUUUUUCUAUCAUUAUCAGGAUUGUUAAAGUGCAGGAGACCUGAAUGUGUGUAGAUGAACAGUUUGUAGCUGUAGUUGGGUUGUUUCUAUCAUUAUUAGUACAUUAUCAGGAUUUCCCAAAUGCGGGAUAUCUGAAUGGGUGUAGCGGAGCAGAUUGUAUCAUCCUAGUUUUAUUAGUAUCAGGAGAAAUGAGUUUGUAAAUUUUAUAGAAGUUAUUAUGAUGUUUUGUAAGUGUUUAUUAUAAUUAAAUAGGGUUUCUUUGAGAAUAGACAUAACCUUACUAUAUAUUUAUCUGACAAAAAAUGUAACUAUAUAUUGAAUAUGUAAUGUAAAGUUGAUAAGAAGUCAAUCUAAGCUUUAAAAGUGUUUGGAUAUCAAACCAGUGAAGGAUUAUGUUUUGAAACAUGUUUGCUUAUUUGCAAAUUUUAUGCUAUGCAAAAUAAAGUUGUGAUAUUGCCUGUUUUUUCUGACUGUAUUCAUCAUUCAAUUUAAACACCCCAAAAUAAUGCAAAUGUCUAGCUAUAGCUCAAAAGAUUUUUUUAAAAUUUAAAUUGUGGAAUAAACAGGGUUUCUAACAUAUAAGACGUUAAAAAACAGUAUUCAGAAGAAAAAAAAUGAAUGUGAAAAAUGUUAUAAAUUCAGUUAGUCGAAAAAAUAUCACACUAAACAUUGAAAUUUUAAGUAUAUCAAAUAUAUGUUUGGGUUUAUUGAGUGAAUCGAAGUUGAUAGGAAUUCUUCAUUGUCAUAUUGUAGAGAUGAUUCUCUCACUGACCAUAAAUAAAUAAUAAAUGUGUUUAUACGUAAUAUUACACUAAACUUGUAAUGAUAAGAAUAAUAUUAUUUUUUUAAUAUAGUUUCACUGAUGAUAAAUCGCAUUUGUUCAAAAUAUGAAAUUUGAACAACAUGAUAUUAGUCGUAUUUCAUAUAGCUUGAUGCGUUAAUAUAUGUUUUCAUAUAUUUUAUUGUUUUUGUUUGUUGUACGGUGGCGCUGAAUACCUUUAUGGUAGUUUAUGCCUAUUAAAUAUACAUAAUGUCAAUGAAAAUCUAAUUGUGUGGUACGACAGAUCUUGCGCUUCGAAGUGUUGAUUCGCGCUCACUACCGUAACAAUUCUCUUAUCCGUUUGAAUAACUUUAGAGGGUGGACAUGUUUAGAAUCGGCAGUAAGAAGAAUGUGAACAAGGAGUAUACCUGCACAAUCAGGCUUAUCGAUGAUAACGAAGUUAUCCAAUGCGAAUUCCGGAGGGACCAUAAGGGACAGUAUCUCGUGGAUUAUGUAUGUGAUUCUUUAAACCUUGUGGAAAAAGACUAUUUCGGACUUCGUUAUGUUGACUUUAACAAG